Molecule: ribosomal RNA, 158 nt
Filed under: Melanconis alni
Lineage: Eukaryota; Fungi; Ascomycota; Sordariomycetes; Diaporthales; Melanconidaceae
Also listed under: 14 other names
Description: 5.8S ribosomal RNA
Rfam family: 5.8S ribosomal RNA
About the family: 5.8S ribosomal RNA (5.8S rRNA) is a component of the large subunit of the eukaryotic ribosome. It is transcribed by RNA polymerase I as part of the 45S precursor that also contains 18S and 28S rRNA. Functionally, it is thought that 5.8S rRNA may be involved in ribosome translocation.
Source: RNAcentral
AAACUUUCAACAACGGAUCUCUUGGUUCUGGCAUCGAUGAAGAACGCAGCGAAAUGCGAUAAGUAAUGUGAAUUGCAGAAUUCAGUGAAUCAUCGAAUCUUUGAACGCACAUUGCGCCCGCUGGUAUUCCAGCGGGCAUGCCUGUUCGAGCGUCAUUU